CAGGGGGUGUUUUUCUUUGAAAGUCGACGAUGAAAGCCCAGCUUGCUGGGGGGAUUAGUGGCGAACGGGUGAGUAACACGUGAGUAACCUGCCCUUAACUCUGGGAUAAGCCUGGGAAACUGGGUCUAAUACCGGAUAGGAGCGCCCACCGCAUGGGGGGUGUUGGAAAGAUUUAUCGGUUUUGGAUGGACUCGCGGCCUAUCAGCUUGUUGGUGAGGUAAUGGCUCACCAAGGCGACGACGGGUAGCCGGCCUGAGAGGGUGACCGGCCACACCGGGACUGAAACACGGCCCAAACUCCUACGGGAGGCAGCAGUGGGGAAUAUUGCACAAUGGGCGAAAGCCUGAUGCAACGACGCCGCGUGAGGGAUGACGGCCUUCGGGUUGUAAACCUCUUUCAGUAGGGAAAAAGCGAAAGUGACGGUACCUGCAAAAAAAGCACCGGCUAACUACGUGCCAGCAGCCGCGGUAAUACGUAGGGUGCGAGCGUUAUCCGGAAUUAUUGGGCGUAAAGAGCUCGUAGGCGGUUUGUCGCGUCUGUCGUGAAAGUCCGGGGCUUACCCCCGGAUCUGCGGGGGGUACGGACAAACUAAAGUGCAGUAGGGGAGACUGGAAUUCCUGGUGUAGCGGUGGAAUGCGCAAAUAUCAGGAGGAACACCGAUGGCGAAGGCAGGUCUCUGGG
This 681-nucleotide ribosomal RNA is filed under the name Micrococcus luteus. RNAcentral's name for it is "bacterial SSU rRNA". It matches the Rfam family "Bacterial small subunit ribosomal RNA", at positions 40 to 733 of the family's 1533-position model. Lineage: Bacteria; Bacillati; Actinomycetota; Actinomycetes; Micrococcales; Micrococcaceae. The record is from RNAcentral.